UGUUGAGUGACAGGAGAGGCGGUAGCUUGUGCGGGGCUAUAGGGGCUAAUAGAGUGGUGACUGGAAGUGGGGGAAGUGAACAAUGUACCAACCCUUAGAGAAGAGUCCUGGUUUGGAGCGGUGGAAUACAUAGCCCGAUAUGCUGCUUGUCGGGGACGAGGUUCUGGAAGAUCCCACACGAGGUGACGCGUUUCUGGUAGCCAGUUUCUGUUACGUUCGAAGCGCAUUGAGAUGCGCGGAGGUGUCAACUCAAGAUGCAGGGGACCAGACAAGCAAGUUAGCAGGUGUGUUGACGCCAGUCUCUGAGGGAAGUCACGGCAGCUGCAUGGACGGCGCAAGCUCCGCUGAUCUCCGCUGAUCUCCGGCAGGAACAGACAUCCACGUUGUUCCUCCCAUCGAUGUGCUCUGGAUCAAAGGAAAAGAAGGGCAGCACGGAGGUACAGGGGUUAGUGCGUCUGCCUCACAAUACGAAGGUCCUGAGUAGUCCUGAGUUCAAUCCCAGGCUUGGGAUAUUUCUGUGUGGAGUUUGCAUGUCCUACCCGCUGCUGCGCUGGUUCCCUCCAGGUACUCCGGCUUCCUCCCACUUCCAAAGACAUGCACCUGGGGAUAGGUUGAUUGGCAACACUAAAUUGGCCCUAGUGUGUGAAUGUGAGUGUGAAUGUUGUCUGUCUAUCUGUGUUGGCCCUGCGAUGAGGUGGCGACUUUUCCAGGGUGUACAACGCCUUCCGCCCGAUUGUAGCUGAGAUAGGCCCCAGCGACCCCAAAGGGAAUGAGCGGUACAAAAUGGAUGGACUGAUAUUCUACUCUUUUAGUAGUAAAUAAACAAACAAAGGCUCCUAAUAUGGCUGCUGAUGAAUGAUGUAACAUAUUGUGUCAUCCAUCCAUCCAUUUCUACCGCAUAUUCCCUUUUUUGGGGGGGUAGCGGGGAGCGCUGGUGCCUAUCUCAGCUACAAUCGGGCUGAAGGCGGGGUACACCCUGGACAAGUCACCACCUCAUCGCAGGGCCAACACAGAUAGACAGACAACAUUCACACUCACAUUUAUUUCCCAUUCCAUUGUUUCUGUCAAACUUAUGUGGGACAAGCGGUAAAAAAAAAGGAUUAUUAAUGUACUUGUUCAUUUACUGUUAAUAUCUGUUAAAUUUUAUAAGCCCCCAUUCAUUUGUUUUUUGGAUAUUUUACAUUAGUUGUAAGUGAUACUACACGUUUUGGUCUCAACCCAAAGCCAAGUAGUUACAGGAUCAUACAAUGGUCAUAAUUAAUGUUCUCCUAAGUUCAGGGACAUAUUUCCGGACUGUAAAAACAAUUUAAAAAAUGACAAAAUAUUUUAUGAUAAUAAAAAAUAUCAAUGUAAACAUUGUAGUAUCGACUAGAUAUGGCUCCUGUCCUUGAUAUUGUUACAGUCAAUGAAUGUAUAUAUCCAUCCAUUUGUUUACAUUGAGGAGCACCAGCUUGUUGUUAGCAUUUAGCUAUUGUAUUUUCCUUACGGGGUGCAGUGAAGCAUGUUUAGCUAUCCUUUUGCCUGCAUAGAGGAUACUUGUAAGAAAUGUACUUUUUUUGUUGUCAUUGAGGCGAGUAUUUGUGAUUUAGAAGUAGCUAAAACACUGCCGACUGCGGAUGAACGUUAGCUGCUAUAUUUUAAAGCGCUUCUUGCAGCACGGCGGUUCAGUGUUUAUAGCUUUACAUCUGUUCGUAAGUGCAAGGUAUGUGUGCUGCAACAAUGCGCCGUAAUGUUCGUUAAAAAACAAAAACAAAAAAAAACACUGGCAUUUUUCAGCUGUAUUAUUGUACUGUUGUUAUUUCAUCAGUACCACGGUGCUUUAUUAGUACCGGUCCACCGUACAACCCUAGUUCAGAUUGGCUCCAAAAACAAAUCCUGUCAUGGCGGAGGGAACUGUUAAAUAAAAUAAUUCAGGUACAUUUAAGCACAGAUGAGUCCUCUCCUACGUCAGCACCAUUGAUGAGCUCCCUUUGUGCAUGGGCUUUUAGGAAAUGAAGGAAGACCAAACCCUACAUUACUCUACAUUUCCCCUUCAAUUUGUAGCAUGUGAGAAGAUUUCCUUCCUGUAGCUCUCACUGUCUGGGAGUAACCGAAUCCUCAAAGGCCUUUUGACACGCAAUACCGCCAUUAAAAAAAUAUGCACCUGUUGCUUUGGGGAGCCGUUUGCAUGGGUGGCUCUGUGUGCUUUAUCUUUGGGGAUUUACAGAGAUCAAAGAGAUUUUCAGGGGUUAAAGUGGAAAUGUAAAAAUGAAUUGUUUCCUUGUAAAUGUUUGUGUUUUUUAUUUCUGCUUGUGUGCAGAUAUUGCCCCAAAGGAUUAUUUACCUCUACAGCACCAGCAGAGGUGGGUAGAGUAGCCAGAUUUUGUACACAAAUAAGAGUACUGUUACUUUAGAGAUGUAUUACUCAAGUAAACGUAAGGAUAAGUCACCCAAAUAUUUACUUGACAAAAAGUAAAAAGUAUGUUGUGAAAAAACUACUCAAGUACUGAGUAACUGAUGAGUAACAUGUUUGUUUAAUGACGGCAACAAGUAAUGCACAAAAACAUAAAAUAGCAAUGAACAAAUUCAGAGCCAGGAAUAUCUCUUAAGCAGCUAAAACAAUAAUAUACAUUAAAUAAUAUAUAAUUGGUUUUACAAUGUAUUGAAAAAAACUUUGAAAAUGAAUUUUACCUUUGCAACCUCAUUAUACUAUUGGCUAAGUUUUAUAUUCAUAAAUCAGUACCGACUACAAACCCCGUUGAAUUGGGAAAUUGUGUUAGAUGUAAAUAUAAACGGAAUACAAUUAUUUGCAAAUCCUUUUCAACCCGUAUUCAAUUGAAUGCACUACAAAGACAAGAUAUUUGAUGUUCAAACUCAUAAACUUUAUUUUUUUUGCAAAUAAUAAUUAACUUAGAAUUUUCUUGGCUACAACAUGUGCCAAAUUAGUUGGAAAAGGGCAUGUUCACCACUGUGUUACAUCACCUUUUCUUCUAACAACACUCAAUAAACGAAUGGGAACUGAGGAAACUAAUUGUUGAAGCUUUGAAAGUGGAAUUCUUUACCAUUCUUUUUUGAUGUACAGCUUAAGUUGUUCAACAGUCCGGGGUCUUGUUUUCGUAUUUUACGCUUCAUAAAGCGCCACACAUUUUCGAUGGGAGACAUGUCUGGACUGCAGGCGGGGCAGAAAAAUACCCGCACUCUUUUACUAUGAAGCCAUGCUGUUGUAACACAUGGCUUGGCAUUAUUUUGCUGAAAUAAGCAGGGGCGUCCAUGAUAACAUUGCUUGGAUGACAACAUAUGUUGCUCCAAAACCUGUAUGGACCUUUCAACAUUAAUGGUGCCUUCACAGAUGUGUAAGUUACCCAUGCCUUGGGCACUAAUACACCCCGAUACCAUCACACAUGCUGGCUUUUGAACUUUGCGCCUAUAACAAUCCGAAUGGUUAUUUUCCUCUUUGUUCUGGAGGACACCACGUCCACAGUUUCCAAAUAUAAUUUGAUAUGUGGACUCGUCAGACCAAAGAACACUUUUCCACUUUGCAUCAGUCGAUCUUAGAUGAGCUCGGGCCCAGCGAAGCCGGCGGCCUUCCUGGGUCUUGUUGAUAAAUGGCUUUCGCUUUGCAUAGUAGAGUUUUAACUUGCACUUACAGAUGUAGCGACAAACUGUAGUUACUGACAGUGGUUUUUUGAAGGGUUCCUGAGCCCAUGUGGUGACAUCCUUUACACACUGAUGUCGGUGUUUGAUGCAGUACCGCCUGAGGGAUCAAAGGUCCAGGAUUUCAUCGCUAACGUGCAGUGAUUUCUCCAGAUUUGCUGAACUUUUUGAUGAUUUUACGGACCGUAGAUGGUAAAAUCCCUAGAUUCCUUGCAAUAGCUCAUUGAGAAAUGUUGUUCUAAAACUUUUCGACAAUUUGCUUACAAGUUGGUGACCCUCGCCCCAUCCUUGUUUGUGAAUUACUUAACAUUUCAUUGAAGCUGCUUUUAUACCCAAUCAUGGCACCCACCUGUUUCCAAAUAGCCUGCACACCUGUGGGAUGUUCCAAAUAAGUGUUUGAUGAGCAUUCCUCGACUUUAUCAGUAUUUAUUGCCACCUUUCCCAACUUCUUUGUCACGUGUUGCUGGCAUCAAAUUCUAAAGUUAAUGAUUAUUUGCAAAAAAGAAAGUUUAUCAGUUUUAACAUUAAAUAUGCUGUCUUUGUAGCAUAUUCAACUGAAUAUGGGUUGAAAAUGAUUUGCAAAACAUUGUAUUCCGUUUAUAUUUACAUCUAACACAAUUUCCCAACUCAUAUGGAAACGGGGUUUGUAUAUUACUCAAGGGGGCGUGGCUACAGGACAGUGUUUGCAAUUGGAAAUAUUUCCUAAGUUCUUUGCAUGCAUGACAUCGAAUUUUACAUUACAUUAUUAAUGAUAAUAAGGCUAGUGAAUAAUUAAAUGGAUAAAUAAAAAAAUUAUGUGGUACAUUACAUGGGAUAUGUAACGUGUCAAAAAGACGGCCCAAAGAUGUUGGUGAAGAUAAAAUAUAGUGUAGAUAUACUGUAAAUGCAACCAAUUGCAGUAAAUGUAAUCUUUGUAUUUAAAUAGUUUCUCUAGGGCUUGUGUGGCUGUACUGAGUGUUGAUAAAAACGUUCCUCUUUUUUUUUUCAGUUUCCUCUUUUUUUCUUGAUGGUUGCCUGUACCUCUACUAAGUAGAACCAGGAACCUGUUAUUAAAUUAAGCACAUAAUUGUGGUCACAGAAGCCGCGAUAUGAAAUGUUUAUAUUGUUGCAUCCAUAAUGUAUAAUAAUACAUAUUGUAUGUGAAAAAUUAUAUAUUGAUAUAUGUAAUAUGUAAAUAUCAGUCUAUUAUUUUUUUUUUCUCUCUUUCUCUCCAACUCAACCCAACCUGUCGAGGCAGCUGUCUUCAAUUUGUUAUGCUAAAAUUGAUCAUUAAAAAAAUCCAGGCUUUCCCAACCCAUAAAACACCCUCCACAACUGGGAAGACAUGCUUUAAAGCAGUGGUUCUCAGAUGGAGGUACGCGUACCCCUGGGGGUACUUGAAGUUAUGCUAAGGGGUACGUGAGAUUUUUCAAAGAUAUUCUAAAUAUAACAACAAUUCAAAAAUCAUUUAUAAAUAUAUUUAUUGAAUAAUACUUCAACAAAAUAUGAAUGUAAGUUCAUAAAAUGUGAAAAGAAAUGCAACAAAGCAAUAUUCAGUGUUGACAGCUAGAUUUCUUUGUGGACGUGUUCCAUUAAUAUUGAUGUUAAAAAACUAAAAAAAAAAGAUUUCUUUUUUUGUGAGGAAAUGUUUAGAAUUAAGUCCAUGAAUCCAGAUGGAUCUCUAUUACAAUCCCCAAAGAGGGCCAUUUAAGUUGAUGAUUACUUCUAUGUGUAGAAAUCUUUAUUUAUUAUUGAAUCACUUGUUUAUUUUUCAACAAGUUUUUAGUUAUUUUUAUAUAUUUUUUUCCAAAUAGUUCAAGAAAGACUACUACAAAUGAGCAAUAGUUUGCACUAUUAUAUUUUGCUCUGAUUAGGGCAUGGGUGUCAAACUCUGGCCCGCGGGCCGAAUCUGCCCCACCCUGUAAUUUAAUUUGGCCCUUGAGGCAAUAUCAAUUUAGCAUUAGAGCUGGCCCGCCGGUGUUAUACAGCGUCGGUGCCGCUGUAACACCGCAUUCACCGCUAAUACUCAUACUUGCCAACCCUCCUAAUUUUCCCAGUAGACUCCCGAAGUUCAGUGCCCCUCCCGAAAAUCUCCCGGGGCAACCAUUCUCCUGAAUUUCUAUCGAUUUCCACCUGGACAACUAUAUUGGGGGCCUGCAUUUAAGGCACUGCCUUUAGCGUUCUCUACAACCUGUCGUCACGUCCGCUUUUCCUCCAUACUAACAGCGUGUCACAUAGUAUUUGUGGCUUACACACACACACACACACACACACACACACACACACACGCACAAGUGAAUGCAAGGCGUACUUGGUCAACAGCCAUACAGGUCACACUGAGGGUGGCCGUAUAAACAACUUUAGCACUGUUACAAAUAUGCGCCACACUGUGAACCCACACCAAACAAGAAUGACAAACACAUUUCGGGUGAACAUCCGCACCGUAACACAACAGAACAUAUACCCAGAAACCCUUGCCGCACUAACUCUUCCGGGAAACUUCCAGCAAACUGACCAAUAAUUUACGUUUUAUUCACGCAUUUUUCUUGCUACUUAAAGGCUUGAAUGUUUGGUUCAUUCAUUAUUGUUAUUUUAUUUUCAAAUGUAUUAUUAGCCUGUGGAAAACAAUUUAUAUUUACCUCAGAAGAUUGCAAAUGGAAAAAAAGGCAUAACAUUUUUAUUUACAUUUUACCUGAUAUGCCAUUGAUAUUUUUUCAUUAUUAUUAUUUGAAACGUGAUUUUGCAUGUCACUAAAGUUAUGUAAGCCUUGCUUGUUCAAUAUUUAAUGCAAAACUUGUUUGGGUCCCUAUUAAAAGGUUAAUUUGUUCAACCUUGGCCCGCGGCUUUGUUCCAUUUAAAAUUUUGGCCCACUCUGUAUUUCAGUUUGACACCCCUGGAUUAGGGGGUACUUGAAUUAAAAAAAUGUUCACAGGGGGUACAUCACUGAAAAUAGGUUAAGAACCACUGCUUUAAACUACUAGUAGAACUGAAAAACAAAUUGACUUUACCGUAUGCUUAAUUGUGUUUCAUUGUAUCUGUUAAAUCAUCCAUCCCUU
Molecule: RNA transcript, 6668 nt
Organism: Nerophis ophidion (straightnose pipefish)
Lineage: Eukaryota; Metazoa; Chordata; Actinopteri; Syngnathiformes; Syngnathidae
Gene: srxn1
Gene name: sulfiredoxin 1 homolog (S. cerevisiae)
Exons: 4
Source: RefSeq, a predicted model, not a curated record